CCUACGGGCGGCAACAGUGGGGAAUAUUGGGCAAUGGGCGCAAGCCUGACCCAGCAACGCAGCGUGAAGGAAGAAGGCUCUCGGGUUGUAAACUUCUUUUAUCAGGGACGAAGCAAGUGACGGUACCUGAUGAAUAAGCCACGGCUAACUACGUGCCAGCAGCUGCGGUAAUACGUAGGUGGCAAGCGUUAUCCGGAUUUACUGGGUGUAAAGGGCGUGUAGGCGGGAAAGCAAGUCAGAUGUGAAAACCAUGGGCUCAACCUGUGAACUGCAUUUGAAACUGUUGUUCUUGAGUACUGGAGAGGCAGACGGAAUUCCUGGUGUAGCGGUGAAAUGCGUAGAUAUUAGGAAGAACACCAGUGGCGAAGGCGGUCUGCUGGACAGCAACUGACGCUGAGGCGCGAAAGCGUGGGGAGCAAACAGGAUUAGAUACCCCUGUAGUC
RNAcentral lists this ribosomal RNA (443 nucleotides) under uncultured bacterium. RNAcentral's name for it is "partial 16S ribosomal RNA". It matches the Rfam family "Bacterial small subunit ribosomal RNA", at positions 338 to 795 of the family's 1533-position model. The record is from RNAcentral.